Molecule: non-coding RNA, 28 nt
Filed under: Homo sapiens (human)
Lineage: Eukaryota; Metazoa; Chordata; Mammalia; Primates; Hominidae
Source: RNAcentral
UCUUCAUUGAUAAGUGGAGGAGAAAUGC